This 253-nucleotide ribosomal RNA is filed under the name uncultured bacterium. RNAcentral's name for it is "partial 16S ribosomal RNA". It matches the Rfam family "Bacterial small subunit ribosomal RNA", at positions 524 to 776 of the family's 1533-position model. The record is from RNAcentral.
UACAGGGGUCUCAAGCGUUGUUCGGAUUCAUUGGGCGUAAAGGGUGCGUAGGCGGCGCGGUAAGUCGGGUGUGAAAUUUCGAGGCUUAACUUCGAAACUGCAUUCGAUACUGCCGUGCUUGAGGACUGGAGAGGAGACUGGAAUUUACGGUGUAGCGGUGAAAUGCGUAGAUAUCGUAAGGAAGACCAGUGGCGAAGGCGGGUCUCUGGACAGUUCCUGACGCUGAGGCACGAAGGCCAGGGGAGCAAACGGG